GACUGUAUAUGCAAGAUCCAUCCAGUUUGGCAACAGUAUCAUAUGCGUCUCCUUUACCGAUAUCAGAGAAGCCGUGAAGUGGCUCAGCAGCUUUCCAUGAGCUAAGGGAUGGCUCUCAGGUCUGAUGGAGCGUCAUAGGUCACUGUACAGUAUAAAUAUGAAAGCACUCUACGGUAAACUGUUUCCUCCAUGAGGUUAUUCCUUGUUUUACUAGGUGAACUCUAAGGUCCUUAAUGGUGUCUCCUGGCCUGAUUGUUACAGGA
Long non-coding RNA from Pseudophryne corroboree (corroboree frog), 263 nucleotides. RefSeq lists it as uncharacterized. The transcript has 3 exons. The record is from RefSeq and is a predicted model, not a curated record. Lineage: Eukaryota; Metazoa; Chordata; Amphibia; Anura; Myobatrachidae.